Molecule: ribosomal RNA, 253 nt
Filed under: uncultured bacterium
Lineage: Bacteria
Description: partial 16S ribosomal RNA
Rfam family: Bacterial small subunit ribosomal RNA
Source: RNAcentral
UACGUAGGGUGCAAGCGUUGUCCGGAAUCAUUGGGCGUAAAGAGCUCGUAGGUGGUUUGUCGCGUUGUUCGUGAAAACUCACAGCUCAACUGUGGGCGUGCGGGCGAUACGGGCAGACUGGAGUACUGCAGGGGAGACUGGAAUUCCUGGUGUAGCGGUGGAAUGCGCAGAUAUCAGGAGGAACACCGGUGGCGAAGGCGGGUCUCUGGGCAGUAACUGACGCUGAGGAGCGAAGGCGUGGGGAGCGAACAGG